This 467-nucleotide ribosomal RNA is filed under the name uncultured bacterium. RNAcentral describes it as "partial 16S ribosomal RNA". It matches the Rfam family "Bacterial small subunit ribosomal RNA", at positions 28 to 507 of the family's 1533-position model. The record is from RNAcentral.
GACGAACGCUGGCGGCGUGCUUAACACAUGCAAGUCGAACGGAAAGGCCCUGCUUUUGUGGGGUGCUCGAGUGGCGAACGGGUGAGUAACACGUGAGUAACCUGCCCUUGACUUUGGGAUAACUUCAGGAAACUGGGGCUAAUACCGGAUAGGAGCUCCUGCUGCAUGGUGGGGGUUGGAAAGUUUCGGCGGUUGGGGAUGGACUCGCGGCUUAUCAGCUUGUUGGUGGGGUAGUGGCUUACCAAGGCUUUGACGGGUAGCCGGCCUGAGAGGGUGACCGGCAACAUUGGGACGGGGAUACGGCCCAGACUCCUACGGGAGGAAGCAGUGGGGAUUAUUGCACAAUGGGCGGAAGCCUGAUGCAGAACCGCCGCGUGCGGGAUGACGGCCUUCGGGUUGUAAACCGCUUUCGCCUGUGACGAAGCGUGAGUGACGGUAAUGGGGAAAGAAGCACCGGCUACUACGUG